Molecule: transfer RNA, 63 nt
Filed under: Andrena dorsata
Lineage: Eukaryota; Metazoa; Arthropoda; Insecta; Hymenoptera; Andrenidae
Description: tRNA-Arg
Source: RNAcentral
AUAUAUAAAGUAAUUAUUUACAUUUAAUUUCGGCUUAAAGAUUUGAUUUUUGUCAUGUAUAUA